CGAUGAACUUCUAGCUUGCUAGAAGUGGAUUAGUGGCGCACGGGUGAGUAAUGCAUAGGUUAUGUGCCCUUUAGUCUGGGAUAGCCACUGGAAACGGUGAUUAAUACUGGAUACUCCCUACGGGGGAAAGUUUUUCGCUAAAGGAUCAGCCUAUGUCCUAUCAGCUUGUUGGUGAGGUAAUGGCUCACCAAGGCUAUGACGGGUAUCCGGCCUGAGAGGGUGAUCGGACACACUGGAACUGAGACACGGUCCAGACUCCUACGGGAGGCAGCAGUAGGGAAUAUUGCUCAAUGGGGGAAACCCUGAAGCAGCAACGCCGCGUGGAGGAUGAAGGUUUUAGGAUUGUAAACUCCUUUUGUUAGAGAAGAUUAUGACGGUAUCUAACGAAUAAGCACCGGCUAACUCCGUGCCAGCAGCCGCGGUAAUACGGAGGGUGCAAGCGUUACUCGGAAUCACUGGGCGUAAAGAGUGCGUAGGCGGGGUAAUAAGUCAGAUGUGAAAUCCUGUAGCUUAACUACAGAACUGCAUUUGAAACUGUUACUCUGGAGUGUGGGAGAGGUAGGUGGAAUUCUUGGUGUAGGGGUAAAAUCCGUAGAGAUCAAGAGGAAUACUCAUUGCGAAGGCGACCUGCUGGAACAUUACUGACGCUGAUGCACGAAAGCGUGGGGAGCAAACAGGAUUAGAUACCCUGGUAGUCCACGCCCUAAACGAUGGAUGCUAGUUGUUGCCUUGCUUGUCAGGGCAGUAAUGCAGCUAACGCAUUAAGCAUCCCGCCUGGGGAGUACGGUCGCAAGAUUAAAACUCAAAGGAAUAGACGGGGACCCGCACAAGCGGUGGAGCAUGUGGUUUAAUUCGAAGAUACGCGAAGAACCUUACCUAGGCUUGACAUUGAUA
Molecule: ribosomal RNA, 894 nt
Filed under: uncultured bacterium
Lineage: Bacteria
Description: bacterial SSU rRNA
Rfam family: Bacterial small subunit ribosomal RNA
Source: RNAcentral